Molecule: long non-coding RNA, 1406 nt
Filed under: Bemisia tabaci
Lineage: Eukaryota; Metazoa; Arthropoda; Insecta; Hemiptera; Aleyrodidae
Description: lncRNA ENSSWEETPG010927
Source: RNAcentral
AUUUUUUUUUUUAAUUCAUUUCCUUAAAGUACUGAAUGAGUUGAGACCUCAGUCCACUUUUCCUGGAUUUUUUUUCUUCACUCAAAUUGACAGAGAAAUCGAUUUUUGAAGUUGUCAUAUUCUGGACUCAUUUGAAACGAUAUUUGUUGCAGUUUCUUAUUUCUUAAUUGACAUAGGCAGGCAAGGGAGUCUACAUUUACCGAUUGGCUAAGCUGUGCCAAAACAUAAUUUACUUAUGUCAUCACAACUUUCGGCCUCUAGCUGGUCAGAUUUGAAUAAGCUUUAUCUCUCCUUGAAAGUAUUUUUCAAACUUUUUAAUGGACUUUUUGGUUUUUUUUUAUGAAAUUUACUAUUUAGAAUAAUUGUUGGAUACAUUGCACCUAGAAAUAUUAUGCAACUGACCCAGUGACCCAUAUUUUGCCGUUAGUGUGAAUAUAGAAUAUUCUAAUUACUGAAUUUUUAAAAAGUUGAUCUUGCCCACAUUUAAACCCGUUUCUUCGAGAAUGAUUCCUUUGUGUUUUUCAAAUUUGGAACAGACUGGACUAACUCACUGCAACAGUAGUAUUCUAUUGUUUUUUUUUUUUUUUUUUUUUUUUUUUACUUCAAGCAGACACGAUAAUCUGAGUUGUCAUUAACUCUCUCUAAUUUUCAGAUUUCUCAGCAAUAUCUUAGAGAAGGAAUGUUCUCAUUCAAAAAUCAUUUUGAUAGCAGAGUAAUAUCCUCCAAAUCACGUAAUAGGAAUCCCUCUAUCAUCUCCUGACGUGAGCUCCGUUUACACUAGCAAAGUAUGGAUUCACAAGAAGACAGCAUAUCUAUUGUUUCUCCUGAAAGAUUAACAACUCCAGUAAAAAAAGAAUGUGUACAAGUUUGUUGUUCGAUGCAGACCAAUGAAUCAAAAAGAAGUUGAACAAGGAUACAAUAAUGUCGUGGAAGUUUAUCCAGAUGCUUCGAGUGUAGAAAUUAUUACCCCAAAUGAUAACAUGAAAACCAACAAGAAAGCUUUUACCUUUGAUGCUGUGCAUGAUUGGAAGUAAGUUUAUGAAAGUAGUUUACAAUUUGUCAGCUCUCAGCCAAAGAAAAAAAUGUAGUUGAGCAUCUCUGUAUUGUUUUAAUUUUUUCUUUAAGCCUUUGAAUACACUCUCAUGAAAAUUUCAAGAAUUAUUGUCAGAGACAAAAGAAUUAUUGUGUAAAAUUUUCAGGGAUUCUGUUCAUUAGUUUCUCUGCAAAAAAUUGGAUGAGUUUGAGAAGUUUUGCAACACAGUACCUAAGCACAAAUGGCGCAUGUGAUACUUUGACCGGGAGGUAACAAAUUCUUUCCAUACUGGAUUUGGAGAUGUUUUUUUAUCAUUAUUUCUAGUAUAUGAAAAGCAGGAUGCUAUAGCAGUUCUGUACUUUUCUUAAAAAAA